Molecule: ribosomal RNA, 684 nt
Filed under: uncultured bacterium
Lineage: Bacteria
Description: bacterial SSU rRNA
Rfam family: Bacterial small subunit ribosomal RNA
Source: RNAcentral
CGGGUGAGUAACACGUAGGUGACCUACCAGACGGCGGGGGAUAACCAGGAGAAAUUCUGGCUAAUACCGCAUGAGUUGAACGAUUUUGGAAGUAGUUCAAGAAAGGAUGCCUCUCCUUGGAAGCAUUCGCCGUUUUGAUGGGCCUGCGGAACAUUAGCUUGAUGGUGGGGUAACGGCCUACCAUGGCGACGAUGUUUAGCGGAUUUGAGAGAAUGAUCCGUCACACUGGAACUGAGACACGGUCCAGACUCCUACGGGAGGCAGCAGUGGGGAAUAUUGCGCAAUGGACGCAAGUCUGACGCAGCAAUACCGCGUGAGCGAGGAAGGCCUUCGGGUCGUAAAGCUCUGUCAGAGUGGAAAAAUGGGUAGUCAUCUAAUAGGUGAUUGCAUUGAUGGUACACUCAGAGGAAGCACCGGCUAACUUCGUGCCAGCAGCCGCGGUAAUACGAAGGGUGCGAGCGUUGUUCGGAUUUAUUGGGCGUAAAGCGCGCGCAGGCGGAUGUGCAAGUCAGAUGUGAAAUCUCGGGGCUCAACCCCGAAACUGCGUCUGAAACUGCUCAUCUAGAAUCUUGCAGAGGGAAGGGGAAUUUCGCAUGUAGGGGUAAAAUCCGUAGAGAUGCGAAGGAACACCAGAGGCGAAGGCGCCUUCCUGGGCAAGUAUUGACGCUGAGGCGCGAAAGCGUG